CUCAUGUCACCAUGGCAUUAAUUUGGUCUCAACUCUACUGCUACAAUUCCAAUUGUACUACAUACUGCCUUAUUCUGCUCAGGACUGGGAGCCAAGCCCAAAGCCUCUGGCGGGAUCUACUAGUUGCUGUAAUGUAUCUGACGGUUAGAAUAUUAAGCAGAAGAAUGAGAAAGAAUGGUGUCAAUGGAGUCAAAAUCCGAUCAAACCAAUCAAAUAUUCUCCAUUCUAAAGAAGUGUAACGGAAUUUUCUCACACCACAAUACCAUGGAACACCGUUAAUGAGUAUUUUGCUUUGAACUUCAUGCAACAUAUAGCCACAAAUCGAUCAACAGUGAAUGCAACUGUCAACCACACAGAACUGUCUCUGGAUGCAUAAGUUAAAGCAAUUGUUAGACUGCAUAUGGGGGUAAUGGACAGGAAGCUACCAGGAAAAUAAAUGCCAGGAAUCCUGUUUAACAGCACUGCAGUUAUGAUGACCAAGAAGUCUGUCACGGCCAUCGAUACAAGGUAGCAAGUGAUACAUUUAGAGAGACCGCACCGUCCUUUGAUGAGGAUCACAAUUGCCACUAAAUUAACUAAAAGAAAUGACAGAAGAUAUGAAUUAACCACAUAUGAUAAAUGACAAUGUAAAAAAUGUGUUGAAAAUUCAAACUGAUUUCAACUUUGGUACAGCAUGUGAUGAAUUCUAUGCUACCAUGUAACUUAAAAAAUUGGAUAUUGGUUGAGAACAAGUUAGCAUUUGUCAGGAAUAUUGAUUUUUAUAAUUGCAAUCUGUAAAGAAAUACAAACAAUUACAGUAAGUGCAUCAAUUUGAAAUGGAUGAAAAUUGCUAAUUAUGGAAAUUUACGAAUAUAACACAAACCUUUAGCAGGAGAAAAUAUAUAAUUUAACUUCAAUGACACAUGAUGCAGUCAGAAAAAAAAAUGAUGUGGAGAUAGAAGAAUGGAUGGAAGUAUUUGCAGAAUGUUGAAAUU
This is a long non-coding RNA of Stegostoma tigrinum, 974 nucleotides long. RefSeq lists it as uncharacterized. The transcript has 3 exons. Lineage: Eukaryota; Metazoa; Chordata; Chondrichthyes; Orectolobiformes; Stegostomatidae. The record is from RefSeq and is a predicted model, not a curated record.